RNAcentral lists this ribosomal RNA (1346 nucleotides) under uncultured bacterium. Its description in RNAcentral is "bacterial SSU rRNA". It matches the Rfam family "Bacterial small subunit ribosomal RNA", at positions 28 to 1381 of the family's 1533-position model. The record is from RNAcentral.
GACGAACGCUGGCGGCGUGCUUAACACAUGCAAGUCGAACGGAAAGGCCCUGCUUUUGUGGGGUGCUCGAGUGGCGAACGGGUGAGUAACACGUGAGUAACCUGCCCUUGACUUUGGGAUAACUUCAGGAAACUGGGGCUAAUACCGGAUAGGAGCUCCUGCUGCAUGGUGGGGGUUGGAAAGUUUCGGCGGUUGGGGAUGGACUCGCGGCUUAUCAGCUUGUUGGUGGGGUAGUGGCUUACCAAGGCUUUGACGGGUAGCCGGCCUGAGAGGGUGACCGGCCACAUUGGGACUGAGAUACGGCCCAGACUCCUACGGGAGGCAGCAGUGGGGAAUAUUGCACAAUGGGCGGAAGCCUGAUGCAGCAACGCCGCGUGCGGGAUGACGGCCUUCGGGUUGUAAACCGCUUUCGCCUGUGACGAAGCGUGAGUGACGGUAAUGGGUAAAGAAGCACCGGCUAACUACGUGCCAGCAGCCGCGGUGAUACGUAGGGUGCGAGCGUUGUCCGGAUUUAUUGGGCGUAAAGGGCUCGUGGGUGGUUGAUCGCGUCGGAAGUGUAAUCUUGGGGCUUAACCCUGAGCGUGCUUUCGAUACGGGUUGACUUGAGGAAGGUAGGGGAGAAUGGAAUUCCUGGUGGAGCGGUGGAAUGCGCAGAUAUCAGGAGGAACACCAGUGGCGAAGGCGGUUCUCUGGGCCUUUCCUGACGCUGAGGAGCGAAAGCGUGGGGAGCGAACAGGCUUAGAUACCCUGGUAGUCCACGCUGUAAACGGUGGGUACUAGGUGUGGGGUCCAUUCCACGGGUUCCGUGCCGUAGCUAACGCUUUAAGUACCCCGCCUGGGGAGUACGGCCGCAAGGCUAAAACUCAAAGGAAUUGACUGGGCCCCGCACAAGCGGCGGAGCAUGCGGAUUAAUUCGAUGCAACGCGUAGAACCUUACCUGGGUUUGACAUGGAUCGGGAGCGCUCAGAGAUGGGUGUGCCUCUUUUGGGGUCGGUUCACAGGUGGUGCAUGGCUGUCGUCAGCUCGUGUCGUGAGAUGUUGGGUUAAGUCCCGCAACGAGCGCAACCCUUGUUCACUGUUGCCAGCACGUUAUGGUGGGGACUCAGUGGAGACCGCCGGGGUCAACUCGGAGGAAGGUGGGGAUGACGUCAAGUCAUCAUGCCCCUUAUGUCCAGGGCUUCACGCAUGCUACAAUGGCUGGUACAGAGAGUGGCGAGCCUGUGAGGGUGAGCGAAUCUCGGAAAGCCGGUCUCAGUUCGGAUUGGGGUCUGCAACUCGACCUCAUGAAGUCGGAGUCGCUAGUAAUCGCAGAUCGGCAACGCUGCGGUGAAUACGUUCCCGGGGCU